CCCAGGUGAACUCUUCAUCCCAGCUCAAAGCAGAGUUUAGAUGAAGCUGAGCGAGGACACGCAUCUUAUUCUCGUCAUCAUCCAGACUUCGCAAUACCACCGUCAAUGUCUCGUCAUCAUAAAAACGGGCAUCAAGGCAACCAGACUCACGGCCGGUUUCUGUAAGCACAAAUCAAUGGACCCCUCCAUCAUUCUCUUGACAAAGUGCAGAGACUUCUGUGGGUAAGUGGGAAAGAGUAAUGGACUGUCUGCAACAAAUCAAACAUGCAAGUGCUCUGCUUUACAAAGGUCACCCACUGGUUGCCCUCCAUGUUGGGUGGAGAUACCAAGUCUUCAUCUUCAUCCUUCAAGUACUGCAAAAAAAACAGACCAAGCUUGUUUGUGAUCGCCUUGCUUGUGAUGAACUCUAACCUGGACAAACUUAGUGAGACGGAGGUCCAUCUGCAUAAGAAUGUCCUCCCAAGCCUCACACAUGCAGGUGAGAGAGAGACGCAGAUACUAAACAACAUAGGAGGAGAACGAAAGAUGUAUGAAUAAAAACAAGGUUACAGCUUCUAUCAGUAGAGGCUUGUGAAGAUACUUACCUGCAGCAGUGUGGAAAUGUGUGUAAACUUGCGGGCCAUUUUGGUCAACUCAGGUAAACAUGAAGACAGCAGACCGGUGUCCAGCUGCAAAACAGUCACAGUCAACCCAUGAUAUCAACCCCUACAUUGAAUUCAUCCUUAUACGGGUUGCAUAAGGUGAUGUGUGACUCAGCCUGCUUGUAUUUCGGUUUACUUUGACAUCGACCUUCAAUAAAUAACAGUUACAUAAAAUUAUAGUACUGAUAUAAUUUGCUGGAUUUCAUUAGCUGUUUUUUUAAGCACUUGUGGACUGAAAUACAUAAUCCGAUUAAUAAAAGAGACAGUAACUAAA
This is a long non-coding RNA of Puntigrus tetrazona (Sumatra barb), 915 nucleotides long. RefSeq lists it as uncharacterized. The transcript is spliced from 4 exons. The record is from RefSeq and is a predicted model, not a curated record. Lineage: Eukaryota; Metazoa; Chordata; Actinopteri; Cypriniformes; Cyprinidae.